CAGAAUGUAAACAUAUAAAAGGCAUAUCCUUAAGGAAAAGUUAACAUAAAUCUAGAUGAACUAAUUGCCAGUAUAGAGACUAAGAUUUCAAAGGUGCUGAUAGUAGAAGUAGCGCUAAGUUAUUCGCUCUAUCCUGAUUACAUAUUAAAUUUACUCUGGAAUAUUGAAGCAUACGUUCUGUAAGAUCACUUUUUGGACAAACUAGCCCAGUGGGAUAUUUUUCUCUCCAUCGUUGUCUGGGAUCAAAACCCUGAGACUUGUACAUUUAAAGGAAAUUCAAGAACGAGAGAUGGAAGCCAGCACAGAGAUCCAAAUCUGGUGAAAAUACAGAGAAUAGGUGACCAUGGAGUGUCUCACUAACUCAGUAUAUCCACAUGAAAUAUCUAUAACCAAGGAUCAUGGAACA
Molecule: long non-coding RNA, 406 nt
Organism: Mastomys coucha (southern multimammate mouse)
Lineage: Eukaryota; Metazoa; Chordata; Mammalia; Rodentia; Muridae
Exons: 3
Source: RefSeq, a predicted model, not a curated record